This is a long non-coding RNA of Catharus ustulatus (Swainson's thrush), 1759 nucleotides long. RefSeq lists it as uncharacterized. The transcript has 3 exons. The record is from RefSeq and is a predicted model, not a curated record. Lineage: Eukaryota; Metazoa; Chordata; Aves; Passeriformes; Turdidae.
AGCGAGGAUCCGUGUGCAACUUUCACAAAGUUGCCAAAUAAUAACAGAAUCGCGGGAUCAUGGGGUUUAAUGGUUUGGCCCUGCUUGGGGCGGCCGCAAGGAAGCGGCUCCGGCCCCGCUCACUGCUGCCGCCGGGAGCCAGAGGAGCGGCGUGCCUGGCCGGUGCCACCGGGAAGAGGGAGAGGGGCGUCCCUGGCUGCUGCGGCCGGGAAGAGGGAGAGGGGCGUCCCUGGCUGCUGUGGCCGGGAAGAGAGAGAGUGACGUCCCUGACUGCUGCCGCCGGGAAGAGGGAGAAGGGCGUCCCUGACUGCUGCCGCCGGGAAGAGGGAGAGGGGCGUCCCUGACUGCUGCCACUGAGAGGAUUCUCUAAUAGGAACAACAAUUGCCAUUGUCCUCCACUUCAUUGAGUUCCGGCAUAAGGGAGUUGGCUGCUGGUGGGAAACUGACAGUCAGACCCCACUCCAUAGAAGCCUCUCCUGAUCCUGCUGCAGCAGACUCCAGCUUUUGGUAUCACGGGUGCCAGCUGCAUGGGAAGCCAAACUGUCAUACCAUCUUCUCACCAAGACUUCAGUGGGGGGGGCAGAAGCACCAUUAGAGCCUAAUGAAAAAGCAAACACAAAAGUAAAGAUUUUAACAGUGGGGGCUUUUUCCUCCUUAAAAUCCCACCAGAGAGACACCACUGCACGUGAUACUUCAUUUGUAGGGGGUUUUUGCAGGCAAGAGCACAACAUGAACAAGGUAGUUUUAUGUGGCUUUUUUAGGCAUCAUACCAUGUCCAGGUAGCCCAGCAAAUUGCAACUCUCUACAAUUGCAUUCGCAACAACUCUGUCAAUAUCCACAGUGCUCACACCUGUGCCUUCAAAACACUGAUAUUGUAGAAUACUGCAUGCUUUCCUUCCAAAGAUCUCUUACAUACUCUGCUAAUAUGAUGCUUUUGGAUGAACAGUUGUAAGCAUAUUUUUGUGUUUCUAAACUCAAUCUACUCUUCAGGAUCAAUAUGAACACAUGGUGGCCACAAGUUACUCCUCGACCAGGUUCCAAGAUCUCCCUGAAUGAUGCACUCCUUCAUGACCCUCUCCACUGAUCUACCACUGCUUCUUUUGGGGCCAAAUGCUGCUCUCCAUAUGAAGAGAAAUCAGAAAAAUACUAAUAGGCGACCUCUUCCAGUAAUAAAUUACCCUUCAAUCCCUGCAUAAUCUCUGUGCCAGGUGGAAGGCUUCAAGAUGUUGUUCAUACCUGUGCUUGGAUCAGACUGUACUUGCUAAAAAGGUGCAAAAUGAUUGCACGUGGGAGUUGACAACUACUCUUGCCCAUACACAAUGUGGCACAACCAACAUUUAGUAUCAUCUUCCAGAUUUUCUGUUAGUAGUUAAGGCCAAGUGAAAUAAUUUAUUUCUCAGUAGAUUAUAAAACAAUUUGCAGAUUGCAUUUUUGCGCUGAAAUUGCACCUGCAAUUAUUACUGAGUAAAAGUAUAAAGCUAUUGUGCUCAUAAAGAAAUUUAUGUAAAAGGGAGAAAAACUGAGAAUGCCAUAAGGUUCUCCAUUUUCUUCUGGAAGGAGAAAACUGGUACAUACAGAGGGAAUAUGAUCAGGACUUUGGAUCCAACACGUCCUUUAAACCAGCAACAGUUAAAAAGUACUGGGGCUCCAGACCCCUCUGGAUGAACAGCAGCACAAGUGACUUAAAAAACACACUGGCAAAGCCUCUCCUGCUGUCAUGGUGAGCAGCACACAGAGCCCUUUGGAAAGCAGCACAAAA